CCCCCGCCCCCUCACACAUCUCACCAGCGACAAGUGUUGCAAACCAACACCCACAGGUGCCGUCGAUGGCGGCGGCAAGUGAUGGAGACGCGCGGCGGCCGGCAUUGGGGCGUUGCAACCACGGCGACAAGUGAUGGAGAUCCGGCCUUUUGUUUUUGGAAGCAGGCCCAAUUUUUGCUGCUAACACCUUCGUUUUUUUGCUGGAACAGUCUUUUUUUUUUGCUACCAUGUGUUUUGCUUUUUGCCGGAACCAACUUCAAGCCGGCAUGGGGAAAAAGCUUCCACCCUAGGGAGAAAAAGCUUCAACCGGCUGGAAGAAAAGCUUCAAGUGCCAUGAGGAAAAAGCUUCCAUCGUAGGAAAAAAGCUUCAUUGGUGGAAAAAGCUUCAACCCGUAAUUUAAUUUGCUGGAAGAGUACCUGGAUGAGAACAAGCAGCUGAUCCUGGCCAUCCUCGACAACCAGAACAACGGCAAGGUGGAAGAGUGCGCACGGAACCAAGCUAAGCUUCAACAGAACCUUAUGUAACUCGUCGCCAUCGCCAACAGCCAGCCGCCGCAGACGGCGUUGCUGUCUCAGGUGGGUUGUGCGGGUUGAUUAGGGCUAAAGGCAGGGGGCAAACUGCAAAAUACGCGGCGCUGACCGGCCCAGCCCAGCUGGCUCAACUUGGCGAGCUGUGAUUCGCCCAGGACCAAAUUUGCACUUCCAUGACAAGUUCAAGGACCAAAUAAUCACCUUUUUCAAGUUUGAGGACCAAACCAUCACCUUUAUGACAAGUUCAGGGACCUGCAGUGCUAUUACCUCUUGCUGGAACUCAUUGAUGUUUUUGCUAGAACCAAUUUUCUUCAUGAGGCGCGGCGGCGAGCCACUUUUUUAUUUUUGCUGCAUUUGUGUUUUUUUGCUGGAACCAUCAACCGGUUUUGCUACAACGAGCUUUGAUUUUUGCUGGAACCGCCUGAAGCGGAGCGGGGACCAGAUUUGUUAGCAACUGAUUUUUGUUGCAACCAUCCAAUCGAUGAGCAGCGACGGCGAGCCGGUGAGCGGCGGCCACAGAGCUUGAAGCGGGAGGCCAUGGAAGGGCGACGAGGAAGAAGGAGGGUUGGGGAAAACUGUCGAAAGGAAGGAGACAGGCGCGUGGGAGGAGAGGGGGUGAAAUCGUGUGGUCUGGAACACACGCAUCAUGUGCGGCUGGGGGCCGACCAGCCCAAAGUUUGGGCCGGCGCACCGGCGCCUAUCGCCCCCCUUGCAAUAGGUUGAUGGUUACAUCGUUAUUACAAGUGGCAAAAUAAACAUGGGUCGGUCACCAUCCCAGAAAACAUUAGAAAUUGAAUCAUAAGCAUGCCUAGCUAGACUAUGGGCCACCUUA
This is a long non-coding RNA of Aegilops tauschii subsp. strangulata, 1363 nucleotides long. RefSeq lists it as uncharacterized. Lineage: Eukaryota; Viridiplantae; Streptophyta; Magnoliopsida; Poales; Poaceae. The record is from RefSeq and is a predicted model, not a curated record.